Glossina morsitans morsitans is the source of this 65-nucleotide non-coding RNA. NCBI's taxonomy places the organism in Eukaryota, Metazoa, Arthropoda, Insecta, Diptera, Glossinidae. The record is from Rfam.
AGCCUCAUCAAGUGGUUGUGAUAUGGAUUAUCAACGCAUAUCACAGCCAGCUUUGAUGAGCUAGG